Mesoplodon densirostris (Blainville's beaked whale) is the source of this 72-nucleotide non-coding RNA. The record is from the annotation of a RefSeq genome assembly. NCBI's taxonomy places the organism in Eukaryota, Metazoa, Chordata, Mammalia, Artiodactyla, Ziphiidae.
UCCCUGGUGGUCUAGUGGCUAGGAUUCAGUGCUUACACUGCUGUGGCCCAGGUUCAACCCCUGGUCAGGGAA